RNAcentral lists this ribosomal RNA (492 nucleotides) under uncultured bacterium. RNAcentral describes it as "partial 16S ribosomal RNA". It matches the Rfam family "Bacterial small subunit ribosomal RNA", at positions 29 to 507 of the family's 1533-position model. The record is from RNAcentral.
AGUGAACGCUGGCGGUGGGCCUAACACAUGCAAGUCGAACGGCAGCACAGUAAGAGCUUGCUCUUACGGGUGGCGAGUGGCGGACGGGUGAGGAAUACAUCGGAAUCUACUUUUUCGUGGGGGAUAACGUAGGGAAACUUACGCUAAUACCGCAUACGACCUACGGGUGAAAGCAGGGGAUCUUCGGACCUUGCGCGAUUGAAUGAGCCGAUGUCGGAUUAGCUAGUUGGCGGGGUAAAGGCCCACCAAGGCGACGAUCCGUAGCUGGUCUGAGAGGAUGAUCAGCCACACUGGAACUGAGACACGGUCCAGACUCCUACGGGAGGCAGCAAUGGGGAAUAUUGGACAAUGGGCGCAAGCCUGAUCCAGCCAUACCGCGUGGGUGAAGAAGGCCUUCGGGUUGUAAAGCCCUUUUGUUGGGAAAGAAAAGCAGCAGGUUAAUACCCCGCUGUUCUGACGGUACCCAAAGAAUAAGCACCGGCUAACUUCGUG